RNAcentral lists this ribosomal RNA (824 nucleotides) under uncultured bacterium. RNAcentral's name for it is "bacterial SSU rRNA". It matches the Rfam family "Bacterial small subunit ribosomal RNA", at positions 1 to 806 of the family's 1533-position model. The record is from RNAcentral.
UAGAGUUUGUAUCCUGGCUCAGAAUGAACGCUGGCGGCGUGCCUAACACAUGCAAGUCGUACGAGAAAGACUGUUUUCGGAUGGUCGAGUAAAGUGGCGCACGGGUGAGUAACGCGUAGGUAACCUACCCUUGUAUUGGGGAUAACAGGACGAAAGUUCUGCUAAUACCGGAUGUGACCUGGGGCUGGAGGGUUUCAGGUUAAAGUGGGCCUCUCGAAGAAGCUCAUGUACAGGGAUGGGCCUGCGUCCUAUCAGCUUGUUGGUGGGGUAAUGGCCUACCAAGGCGACGACGGGUAGCUGGUCUGAGAGGAUGAUCAGCCACACUGGCACUGGAACACGGGCCAGACUCCUACGGGAGGCAGCAGUGAGGAAUUUUGCGCAAUGGGAGCAAUCCUGACGCAGCAACGCCGCGUGGGUGAAGAAGGCCUUCGGGUCGUAAAGCCCUGUCAGGUGGGAAGAAGGGUCCUAUCAGGAAAGGGGUGGGAUUUGACGGUACCACCAGAGGAAGCACCGGCUAACUCCGUGCCAGCAGCCGCGGUAAUACGGAGGGUGCGAGCGUUAUUCGGAAUUACUGGGCGUAAAGCGCGUGUAGGCGGGGGAGCAAGUCUGAUGUGAAAGCCCCGGGCUUAACCCGGGAAGUGCAUUGGAAACUGUUUUUCUUGAGUACUGGAGAGGAAGGGGGAAUUCCCGGUGUAGAGGUGAAAUUCGUAGAGAUCGGGAGGAAUACCAGUGGCGAAGGCGCCCUUCUGGACGGUUACUGACGCUGAGACGCGAAAGCGUGGGGAGCAAACAGGGUUAGAUACCCUGGUAGUCCACGCUGUAAA